Molecule: ribosomal RNA, 467 nt
Filed under: uncultured bacterium
Lineage: Bacteria
Description: SSU rRNA
Rfam family: Bacterial small subunit ribosomal RNA
Source: RNAcentral
AGGACGAACGCUGGCGGCGUGCCUAACACAUGCAAGUGGAGCGACGAACCAGGCUUCGGCCUGGGGCAAAGCCGCGAACGGGUGAGUAACACGUGGGUUACCUGCCUCGAUGACCGGGACAACCCGAGGAAACUCGGGCUAAUACCGGAUGUGCCCGCAAGGGGAAAGGAAGCUUCGGCCUCCGCAUCGAGAUGGGCCCGCGGCCCAUUAGCUUGUUGGUGAGGUAACGGCUCACCAAGGCUUCGAUGGGUAGCUGGUCUGAGAGGACGAUCAGCCACACUGGGACUGAGACACGGCCCAGACUCCUACGGGAGGCAGCAGUGGGGAAUCUUGCGCAAUGGGCGAAAGCCUGACGCAGCAACGCCGCGUGAGGGGCGAAGGCCUUCGGGUUGUAAACCUCUUUCAGCAGGGACGAUUGUGACGGUACCUGCAGAAGAACGCCCGGCCAACUACGCGCCAGCAGCCGC